This 468-nucleotide ribosomal RNA is filed under the name uncultured bacterium. RNAcentral describes it as "partial 16S ribosomal RNA". It matches the Rfam family "Bacterial small subunit ribosomal RNA", at positions 28 to 507 of the family's 1533-position model. The record is from RNAcentral.
GACGAACGCUGGCGGCGUGCUUAACACAUGCAAGUCGAACCGAAAGGCCCUGCUUUUGUGGGGUGCUCGAGUGGCGAACGGGUGAGUAACACGUGAGUAACCUGCCCUUGACUUUGGGAUAACUUCAGGAAACUGGGGCUAAUACCGGAUAGGAGCUCCUGCUGCAUGGUGGGGGUUGGAAAGUUUCGGCGGUUGGGGAUGGACUCGCGGCUUAUCAGCUUGUUGGUGGGGUAGUGGCUUACCAAGGCUUUGACGGGUAGCCGGCCUGAGAGGGUGACCGGCCACAUUGGGACUGAGAUACGACCCAGACUCCUACGGGAGGCAGCAGUGGGGAAUAUUGCACAAUGGGCGGAAGCCUGAUGCAGCAACGCCGCGUGCGGGAUGACGGCCUUCGGGUUGUAAACCGCUUUCGCCUGUGACGAAGCGUGAGUGACGGUAAUGGGUAAAGAAGCACCGGCUAACUACGUG